This 253-nucleotide ribosomal RNA is filed under the name uncultured Gammaproteobacteria bacterium. RNAcentral's name for it is "partial 16S ribosomal RNA". It matches the Rfam family "Bacterial small subunit ribosomal RNA", at positions 524 to 776 of the family's 1533-position model. The record is from RNAcentral. Lineage: Bacteria; Pseudomonadati; Pseudomonadota; Gammaproteobacteria.
UACAGAGGGUGCAAGCGUUAAUCGGAGUUACUGGGCGUAAAGGGCGCGUAGGCGGUUAUAUAAGUGAGAUGUGAAAUCCCUGGGCUUAACCUAGGAACUGCAUCUCAUACUGUAUGACUGGAGUAUUGUAGAGGGUAGUGGAAUUUCCGGUGUAGCGGUGAAAUGCGUAGAGAUCGGAAGGAACACCAGUGGCGAAGGCGGCUACCUGGACAAAUACUGACGCUGAGGCGCGAGAGCGUGGGGAGCAAACAGG